Myotis davidii is the source of this 64-nucleotide non-coding RNA. NCBI's taxonomy places the organism in Eukaryota, Metazoa, Chordata, Mammalia, Chiroptera, Vespertilionidae. The record is from Rfam.
GGCCUCCCUCUGUGGGGUGAUCGAUCACGGGGCUCCCAUAUCGAUCGCCCUGUAGAGGGAGGCC